This is a long non-coding RNA of Oreochromis niloticus (Nile tilapia), 945 nucleotides long. RefSeq lists it as uncharacterized. The record is from RefSeq and is a predicted model, not a curated record. Lineage: Eukaryota; Metazoa; Chordata; Actinopteri; Cichliformes; Cichlidae. The transcript has 2 exons.
UUGUGAUUGGUUACUGAAGGUUACUGGCAGUUGCUGUGAAAUUGCUGACGUUGCACUCAUGCAGGCCUACAGACCGACCAGCCUGGAAACCACCGUUCACUGUGGAAAAACGUGUAUUCUGCAUGUGGUAGCCGGUAGUCAGUAGCGUGAAAUUGUUCUUAAAUGGGUAUAAGGCCCUGCACUGGGAUUGUUUUGGUUGUUUCAGCUUGCUGCAGUCAGUAGGAAUUUGCAUGGAAGACGCUGAUUUGUCUGCAAAAGCACGCUACUUGACAAGCGGAAAACGUGAGAAGUGCAACACAGACUGUGAACGUUCUCAGUAUACCGUUUCACAUUUUCUUUCAACCUCAUCUCAGACAAGUCAGUGUCUUCCACCUUCCAUGGUAGUGAGAUCCACCACCAAGUAAUCUCAUAUAGUUUAAAAAAAAAAAAAAAAAACAGAGUUGGAGAUGAAGCUGAGGCUUUGAAAAAGGUCUUCACAUGCCAAGGGAUAACAUCAGGGUAGCCCUUGGUAUGGGUAGGUAUGGGUAGGGUAGGUAUAUUUUAUUGCUCAAUUUACAGCCAACUAGGUAGCUUUCACUUUGUUUUCUUAAAAAACAAAACAAAAAAAAACUACUGUGAUCAGAAACUAACUUAAUAAGACUGGUCAGACUGAAUCACGGAAAACUGAAUGAUGCACAGACUGUGUGGUGAUUAAAGAACUGAAACGCUUCCUUUGUUGUGAUACAGAUUUUAAUGGCGUGAAAACUUAAAAAAAAAAACCCAACAACAACAAUUUUUAAUCAAUAUUAGAUUUUUCAAGCAUUCUCUGAUCAGCAGCAACAAAAAUAUGUACACAUAAUUUUGAAUCUGGAUUUUACAGUAAGGCAUUGCACAAAGUACAACAGACAAGAUUAUUAAUCUACUGUGUGACAUUACAUUUUUGAAUUUUGUCAACUUUUUGACAAA